Bombina bombina (fire-bellied toad) is the source of this 524-nucleotide long non-coding RNA. RefSeq lists it as uncharacterized. NCBI's taxonomy places the organism in Eukaryota, Metazoa, Chordata, Amphibia, Anura, Bombinatoridae. The transcript has 3 exons. The record is from RefSeq and is a predicted model, not a curated record.
CAAACAUUUCAAGACUAAUUGAGAAGGCACAUGUUUCCUGUCUAUAGUGGAGCUCCAGUCUGCAGCUAGACUACUUUGCAUUGUUCUGUUGUUCUCCUCCUUCUCCCAUUGACUUCCUGUGCAGCUGCUGCUGGACACGGCCAGAGCACUGAGAGAUAUCAGGUAUUGAUGUAACUGGAGUGAAUAAGGAAACCUUCUUCCUGAGCACAGACAUUGGAGCCUGUUAUCAGCAUGAACUCAUAUGUGUUAGCAUGGGAAAAGCAGACAACGCCUCAGAUGCAUAUAGAAAAAACCUGGGCAGCAAUAUCUUGCAAAAUAACUCCAGAUGGAGCAUGAGAGGAAAACGCAGGGCACUGCAUGUGCAGAAAGCUGCGGCACAUCUGAAACAGGAGGCUCAUAUAAUACAGAACCAAAAAAACUUUCUUAAAUAAAUGUUCCCUUUAAAUUUACCAAAUCAAGAAAACAUACCCCAGGCAACACUCUACACCUCAGCAGAAUUACUGAGGUGCCCUACCUGUCCUGCA